UACGUAGGGGGCAAGCGUUAUCCGGAUUUACUGGGUGUAAAGGGGGCGCAGACGGCGAUGCAAGCCAGGAGUGAAAGCCCGGGGCCCAACCCCGGGACUGCUCUUGGAACUGCGUGGCUGGAGUGCAGGAGGGGCAGGCGGAAUUCCUGGUGUAGCGGUGAAAUGCGUAGAUAUCAGGAGGAACACCGGUGGCGAGGGCGGCCUGCUGGACUGCAACUGACGUUGAGGCCCGAAAGCGUGGGGAGCAAACAGG
This 253-nucleotide ribosomal RNA is filed under the name uncultured bacterium. Its description in RNAcentral is "partial 16S ribosomal RNA". It matches the Rfam family "Bacterial small subunit ribosomal RNA", at positions 524 to 776 of the family's 1533-position model. The record is from RNAcentral.